AAGUCAUGUUGAAGACAAUUUCUUAAAGGCCCUUGUACCUCUCCCAAGCUUCGUAUAACAACUCUCCCAUUUCUUAUUGGAAGUUGGAUAUCUUCUUCUUUAGCUU
Small nucleolar RNA from Lactuca sativa (garden lettuce), 106 nucleotides. The record is from RefSeq and is a predicted model, not a curated record. Lineage: Eukaryota; Viridiplantae; Streptophyta; Magnoliopsida; Asterales; Asteraceae.